AGCGAACGCUGGCGGCAGGCUUAACACAUGCAAGUCGAGCGGGGAAGGGUAGCUUGCUACCUGCCCUACGGGGGACGGGUGAGUAAUGCUUAGGAAUCUGCCUAUUAGUGGGGGACAACAUUCCGAAAGGAAUGCUAAUACCGCAUACGCCCUACGGGGGAAAGCAGGGGAUCUUCGGACCUUGCGCUAAUAGAUGAGCCUAAGUCAGAUUAGCUAGUUGGUGGGGUAAAGGCCUACCAGGGCGACGAUCUGUAGCGGGGUCUGAGAGGAUGAUCCGCCACACUGGGACUGAGACACGGCCCAGACUCCUACGGGAGGCAGCAGUGGGGAAUAUUGGACAAAGGGCGCCAGCCUGAUCCCGCCAUGCCCGCGUGUGUGGAAGAAGGGCUUUUGGGUGCUAAACCUUUAAAGCGAGGAGGAGGGUCCUUUGAUUAAUACUUAGGAUAAUGGACAUUUACUCCCCCAAAUAAACACCCGCUAAAUCUGUGCCCCUCAGCCCCCGGUUAAUAAAAAGGGGGCGAAGCGUUAUUCGAAUUUUCCUGGGCGGAAAAGCUUGCGUAGGGCGCUUUUUUUAAAGCUGAGUUUGAAUCCCCUGACCUUAAACUUUGGGAAUUUGCCUUUCCAUCCUGGGAAAUCCAUAGUAUU
This 645-nucleotide ribosomal RNA is filed under the name uncultured Enterobacteriaceae bacterium. Its description in RNAcentral is "bacterial SSU rRNA". It matches the Rfam family "Bacterial small subunit ribosomal RNA", at positions 28 to 650 of the family's 1533-position model. Lineage: Bacteria; Pseudomonadati; Pseudomonadota; Gammaproteobacteria; Enterobacterales; Enterobacteriaceae. The record is from RNAcentral.